RNAcentral lists this ribosomal RNA (436 nucleotides) under uncultured bacterium. RNAcentral describes it as "bacterial SSU rRNA". It matches the Rfam family "Bacterial small subunit ribosomal RNA", at positions 28 to 474 of the family's 1533-position model. The record is from RNAcentral.
GAUGAACGCUAGCGGCAGGCUUAACACAUGCAAGUCGAACGGUAACAGGGAGCUUGCUCCGCUGACGAGUGGCGAACGGGUGAGUAAUGCAUCGGAACGUACCCAGUCGUGGGGGAUAACGUAGCGAAAGUUACGCUAAUACCGCAUACGUCCUGAGGGAGAAAGCGGGAGACCGUAAGGCCUCGCGCGAUUGGAGCGGCCGAUGUCGGAUUAGCUAGUUGGUAGGGUAAAGGCCUACCAAGGCGACGAUCCGUAGCGGGUCUGAGAGGAUGAUCCGCCACACUGGGACUGAGACACGGCCCAGACUCCUACGGGAGGCAGCAGUGGGGAAUUUUGGACAAUGGGCGAAAGCCUGAUCCAGCCAUGCCGCGUGAGUGAAGAAGGCCUUCGGGUUGGUUAAAGCUCUUUCUAGUUGAGAAGAAAAGAAUUAGUGACU